CUUCAAUGUUCCUCUGUUUGUAUCAUUAUUCUCCAUCUGUAUAUCAGUGCAGGACACCUUUCCUUUGCCCACCACGUGCAUAAAAACCAACACCAGAGUCCUGAAGAGUGAUCUGAGUUUACAAAACAAACAGGAGUCUGAGUGUGCUGAGGGAUCUACACUCAAACAAUUGGGACCCUCAGGUGGUUGCACAAUUUGGAGGCUCAUUAUGUCCUCUCUCAGUCCAGGAGUUUCCACCCACACUUGUGUUUUGAAGGCAACAAGGGAGGGGAUGACAAGGAAAAGGGGAAGCAAAAAUAAUCCCCCUGAACAUCAUUUUUUGGAGAAUGAAAACCUGGCAUUCUGCAGCAGGCACCAUCCUCCAGCAAAACUGCAGCAGUGAGGUCGCCAAGAUAAGAGAACCCCCCAAGCAAGCGAGCAACUAAAUAAAU
This 431-nucleotide long non-coding RNA is filed under the name Parus major (Great Tit). Its description in RNAcentral is "lncRNA (ENSPMJG00000009668.1)". Lineage: Eukaryota; Metazoa; Chordata; Aves; Passeriformes; Paridae. The record is from RNAcentral.